UUCACGUUCAUCAAGAAAGCUUGCGAAGAAGAUCGAAGACCGGAAAAUAAUGCCCUUGACGUCGGCUUCAUUGCCGGUGAACAUACCGGACUGGUCAAAGAUUUUGAAGGACGAGUAUAGAGAGCAUAGCAAGAGAGAGAGCGAUGAAGACCGCGGCGGAGGCGGCGGCGAUGACGAUGAAGACAAGGAGGAAGAGUACUACGGGUUGGUUCCUCCUCAUGAAUAUUUAGCCAUGAGGAGGGGAGCUUCAUUUUCUGUUCAUGAAGGCAUAGGGAGGACUUUGAAAGGAAGAGAUCUGCGCCGGGUCAGAAAUGCAAUUUGGAAA
RNAcentral lists this long non-coding RNA (325 nucleotides) under Citrus sinensis (sweet orange). Its description in RNAcentral is "long non-coding RNA (CSIN_LNC002634)". Lineage: Eukaryota; Viridiplantae; Streptophyta; Magnoliopsida; Sapindales; Rutaceae. The record is from RNAcentral.